GUUGUAUGGUUAAGUGACUAAGCGUACACGGUGGAUGCCUUGGCAGUCAGAGGCGAUGAAGGACGUAUUAACUUGCGAUAAGCCCAGAUUAGGCAGUAAAAGCCACUUGAGUCUGGGAUUUCCGAAUGGGGAAACCCACUUACAUAAGUAAGUAUCCUGUUGUGAAUACAUAGCAACAGGAGGCGAACCGGGGGAACUGAAACAUCUAAGUACCCCGAGGAAAAGAAAUCAACCGAGAUUCCGAAAGUAGCGGCGAGCGAAAUUGGACUAGCCCUUAAGCUUUACACACGUUAGACGAACGGUCUGGAAAGGCCGACGAUACAGGGUGAUAGUCCCGUAGUUGACGAUGUGUGUUCAGUGAAAUCGAGUAGGGCGGGACACGUGAUAUCCUGUCUGAAUAUGGGGGGACCAUCCUCCAAGGCUAAAUACUACUGACUGACCGAUAGUGAACCAGUACCGUGAGGGAAAGGCGAAAAGAACCCCUGUGAGGGGAGUGAAAUAGAACCUGAAACCGUGUACGUACAAGCAGUAGGAGCACCUUCGUGGUGUGACUGCGUACCUUUUGUAUAAUGGGUCAGCGACUUAUAUUCAGUGGCAAGGUUAACCAUCUAGGGGAGCCGUAGGGAAACCGAGUCUUAACUGGGCGUUCAGUCUCUGGAUAUAGACCCGAAACCAGGUGAUCUAGCCAUGGGCAGGUUGAAGGUUGAGUAACAUCAACUGGAGGACCGAACCGACUAAUGUUGAAAAAUUAGCGGAUGACUUGUGGCUAGGGGUGAAAGGCCAAUCAAACCUGGAGAUAGCUGGUUCUCCCCGAAAGCUAUUUAGGUAGCGCCUCGGACGAAUACUACUGGGGGUAGAGCACUGUUAAGGCUAGGGGGUCAUCCCGACUUACCAACCCUUUGCAAACUCCGAAUACCAGUAAGUACUAUCCGGGAGACACACGGCGGGUGCUAACGUCCGUCGUGGAGAGGGAAACAACCCAGACCGCCAGCUAAGGUCCCAAAUUACUACUAAGUGGGAAACGAUGUGGGAAGGCUCAGACAGCCAGGAUGUUGGCUUAGAAGCAGCCAUCAUUUAAAGAAAGCGUAAUAGCUCACUGGUCGAGUCGGCCUGCGCGGAAGAUGUAACGGGGCUAAGUAGUAAACCGAAGCUGCGGCAAUAUACUUUUGUAUAUUGGGUAGGGGAGCGUUCUGUAAGCGGUUGAAGGUGUGUGGUAACGCAUGCUGGACGUAUCAGAAGUGCGAAUGCUGACAUGAGUAACGAUAAAGGGGGUGAAAAACCUCCUCGCCGGAAGACCAAGGGUUCCUGUCCAACGUUAAUCGGGGCAGGGUAAGUCGACCCCUAAGGCGAGGCCGAAAGGCGUAGUCGAUGGGAAACGGGUUAAUAUUCCCGUACUUCUUACAAUUGCGAUGGGGGGACGGAGAAGGCUAGGUGGGCCUGGCGACGGUUGUCCAGGUUCAAGUGCGUAGGCUUGAGAGUUAGGUAAAUCCGGCUCUCUCUAAGGCUGAGACACGACGUCGAGCUACUACGGUAGUGAAGUCAUUGAUGCCAUGCUUCCAGGAAAAGCCUCUAAGCUUCAGAUUGUAAGGAAUCGUACCCCAAACCGACACAGGUGGUCGGGUAGAGAAUACCAAGGCGCUUGAGAGAACUCGGGUGAAGGAACUAGGCAAAAUGGUACCGUAACUUCGGGAGAAGGUACGCUCUCGACGGUGAAGUCCCUUGCGGAUGGAGCUAUUGAGAGUCGCAGAUACCAGGUGGCUGCAACUGUUUAUUAAAAACACAGCACUGUGCAAAAUCGUAAGAUGACGUAUACGGUGUGACGCCUGCCCGGUGCCGGAAGGUUAAUUGAUGGGGUUAGACUUCGGUCGAAGCUCUUGAUCGAAGCCCCGGUAAACGGCGGCCGUAACUAUAACGGUCCUAAGGUAGCGAAAUUCCUUGUCGGGUAAGUUCCGACCUGCACGAAUGGCGUAAUGAUGGCCACGCUGUCUCCACCCGAGACUCAGUGAAAUUGAAAUCGCUGUGAAGAUGCAGUGUACCCGCGGCUAGACGGAAAGACCCCGUGAACCUUUACUACAGCUUGGCACUGAACAUUGACCCUACAUGUGUAGGAUAGGUGGGAGGCUUUGAAACAGGUACGCCAGUAUCUGUGGAGCCGUCCUUGAAAUACCACCCUUGUAGUGUUGAUGUUCUAACGUCGACCCCUUAUCGGGGUUGCGGACAGUGCCUGGUGGGUAGUUUGACUGGGGCGGUCUCCUCCCAAAGCGUAACGGAGGAGCACGAAGGUGGGCUAAUCACGGUUGGACAUCGUGAGGUUAGUGCAAUGGCAUAAGCCCGCUUGACUGCGAGAAUGACAAUUCGAGCAGGUGCGAAAGCAGGUCAUAGUGAUCCGGUGGUUCUGAAUGGAAGGGCCAUCGCUCAACGGAUAAAAGGUACUCCGGGGAUAACAGGCUGAUACCGCCCAAGAGUUCAUAUCGACGGCGGUGUUUGGCACCUCGAUGUCGGCUCAUCACAUCCUGGGGCUGAAGUCGGUCCCAAGGGUAUGGCUGUUCGCCAUUUAAAGUGGUACGCGAGCUGGGUUUAGAACGUCGUGAGACAGUUCGGUCCCUAUCUGCCGUGGGCGUUGGAGAAUUGAAAGGGGCUGCUCCUAGUACGAGAGGACCGGAGUGGACGAACCUCUGGUGUUCGGGUUGUGUCGCCAGACGCAUUGCCCGGUAGCUAAGUUCGGGAUCGAUAACCGCUGAAAGCAUCUAAGCGGGAAGCGAGCCUUGAGAUGAGUUCUCCCUGAUACUUAAAGUAUCCUAAAGGGUUGUCGUAGACUACGACGUUGAUAGGCAGGGUGUGUAAGCGUUGUGAGGCGUUGAGCUAACCUGUACUAAUUGCCCGUGAGGCUUAACCAUACAACACCCAAGGGGUUU
This 2915-nucleotide ribosomal RNA is filed under the name Vibrio natriegens. RNAcentral describes it as "bacterial LSU rRNA". It matches the Rfam family "Bacterial large subunit ribosomal RNA". Lineage: Bacteria; Pseudomonadati; Pseudomonadota; Gammaproteobacteria; Vibrionales; Vibrionaceae. The record is from RNAcentral.